RNAcentral lists this long non-coding RNA (869 nucleotides) under Capra hircus (goat). RNAcentral describes it as "lncRNA (ENSCHIG00000004487.1)". The record is from RNAcentral. Lineage: Eukaryota; Metazoa; Chordata; Mammalia; Artiodactyla; Bovidae.
UUCAGAGGUCACCGCUGUGUGUCAAAGGGAAGAGGGACGGGAGCAGGGUCUGCGGUCAGGACCUCGGGGCCCCUGCAGCAGUUCAUUCCAGGGCACGGCCCGGCGCUGUUUGCAAAGGCAGAACAGCGGGCUCAGAUAACCCAGCAACGAUUAAUGGUCACGUUCCCGAGCAAACUCCAGUUUCCCCCAGGAAGCCUGAUUACUUGUUGGGGAAUCUAAUUCAGAAGGCGGAAGAGAAAGCGGCUCCCCUCAGGGAACCUGACUGGAGCUCACCGCGGGGCCGGAAGCGGGAUGAGGGCCUGGCAACAGCCCAGCGCUGAUGCGGGUGUGACUCAGCCAGCGGAGGGGGCCCAGUUCGAUCCCUGGUUGAGGAUAAGAUCCCACAUGUCGUGUGGCCAAAAACAAUCAAAAACAGACAAGCAAAAAAACUAUGGUGCCUAUUUGAGGAACUUGAUGAAAUGGGAUGAUUCUCAAAGAAACAGGACAAGUGGGACAAAAUCCCAGCUAAUGAAGCAGACCCUCUUCCUGAAGUUCUAAGAAUUCCUGCCUCCAGCUUAGACCGGUAUAUUUAGCUGUCUACUUGACAUCUUCGCUUAGACAUCUACUUUUAAACUUAGCUUGUUCAAAAUGGACAUUCCCCACAGAAAACUUGUUUUAGUUCCUGGGCAACUAAAACAAUGCCUGUACACCACUAUUGUUGUCCUCCCUAUGUCAGUAAAUGGCAUUUCUAGUCUCCCUUUUGCUCAGGCCAAAAAUCUUUCUCUCCCUCAUCUGUUAGCUAAUCCAGCAGGAUGAAUUUACCCCAAAUCCCCCCAUUUCACACCAACUCCACAGGUAUCACCCUGGUCCAAGCACCCGCCUUCUUCCAC